Molecule: long non-coding RNA, 1238 nt
Organism: Esox lucius (northern pike)
Lineage: Eukaryota; Metazoa; Chordata; Actinopteri; Esociformes; Esocidae
Source: Ensembl
CGUCUGUGUCAUUCAUCACAGUGCACUCCAGUGGUGCUCCGGCAGGUGUUUCGGUUGAGCGGGCCUUUUGUAACAGGGACACGCUGGAUGGCUUCCACCUAUCCCAUGCACAAGUCCUCAAAGCAGGUGGCGGCGUCAUCUUCAUGCCGUUGCCUCCACCGUAUGCCUCUUCCUGCACGAUUUCCAGCCCUUCCACAACCACCCCCGGGUCAGUCCAGCGGGAUGCCCUGGGAGGGCCUGCCAGGCGGGGGAUUCUCUACGACAAGGGCCUUUGCCUGGGCCACACCCCCACAGACGAGGAGAUCUCUCAGCUCUGGCAUGGAGUCCGCAGAGCCUUGACCACCAAGGAGGAUGACCAGAGAAACUCCCCAUACGAUAAUUUGUGUGCCUUGCCUCAAGCCCACGCCAACCUAUCCCACACCACCACCAGCGGACACAGGCACAGCUGUGGAGUCAAAGCUGUUACCGGGACAGAAGGCUUCUUCGUCUCCUCAUACAAUGGCAGAGGCCUGGUGAGGAAGCCAACCCAGGAGAACUGUGGGCCUAGGAGGAGAGGAGCACCUGGUUCAGGGAACAGAAGGCUUCCUCUUCCAUCCCAGUCACAGGCUUUAGGGCUGAUGACAGCUUUGCAGACCAAAAAUGACCUGACAUAUCAAGGUGAAGAUUCAGAAUAUGCUGCAGAGGCAGACAGUGAGAUGGCGGUUGCCGUAGAGACCAUCCAGACACCAAGGCCUCCCCUUGGUCUUCCACAGCAACGUAGCCAUGCCCAGGGGCAGUGGUGCCCACAACAGGGCCAGAACCAGGGCCUGACCACCAUAUCCCUGGAGGAACAAAAGGUUCUGCUCUCCUUGGAUCGACUCAACCAUCAGCUGCAGUAUGUGCAAGAGUAUACUGGAGGCAACGCCGCUGGUAAAGCCGUCCUACAAGGCAGCUCACCCUUUGCCGGGGGAGUGUCAGCUGCUGGCCCCCGAAGGCCCCCCAACGUCUCCGCUUACAACCGUUCCAGAACACAGAGAAGAUUCUGACACAACGUUUCAAUAUGGCCACCUGAAUGGGACCGUCUCUGCGUUAUUACUGUACCUGCUAAGAGAGCACUUUAUACAAGCCCUCCCCACGGCUCCACACCACCCUUGACCUUCUCCACUGGAUAAAGGCUUCCAAGUCCUUUAUCAAAUUAACGUUAUGAUGACUUUUUGAUGCAUUGUAUAUUCUGUCAUAUAGUCAGGCUUCAGUUUUUU